UACAGAGGUCUCAAGCGUUGUUCGGAUUCACUGGGCGUAAAGGGUGCGUAGGUGGCGCCGUAAGUCAGGUGUGAAAUUUCGGAGCUUAACUCCGAAACUGCAUUUGAUACUGCGGUGCUUGAGGACUGGAGAGGAGACUGGAAUUUACGGUGUAGCAGUGAAAUGCGUAGAGAUCGUAAGGAAGACCAGUGGCGAAGGCGGGUCUCUGGACAGUUCCUGACACUGAGGCGCGAAGGCCAGGGGAGCAAACGGG
RNAcentral lists this ribosomal RNA (253 nucleotides) under uncultured bacterium. RNAcentral describes it as "partial 16S ribosomal RNA". It matches the Rfam family "Bacterial small subunit ribosomal RNA", at positions 524 to 776 of the family's 1533-position model. The record is from RNAcentral.